RNAcentral lists this long non-coding RNA (643 nucleotides) under Triticum aestivum (bread wheat). RNAcentral describes it as "long non-coding RNA (TAES_LNC003039)". The record is from RNAcentral. Lineage: Eukaryota; Viridiplantae; Streptophyta; Magnoliopsida; Poales; Poaceae.
UUUUAUUAGCAACCAAGAAACCAAGUUCAAUUGUACAAGCUAGCUACUAAAGACAGGAAAGAAGGAAACAAAACUACCUACCUAUUACAUGCCUCAAGGGAGGCCAGCUAGCCAGGCUUAGAGCUUGGGUCUAAUAGAAGCAUUAACCCUAUGUGCUAGCAAGAAAAAAUCAUAUACAAAUUUACAUCUGUAGACACCAAAAGUGACCCUUUCACCCCUAAAGGCCCUCCCAUUUCUAAGGAUCCAUAUAUUCCAUGCUGCUGUGAAUAUCACUUCAACGAAGUAGGGUGUGUAAACCUCCUCCUAGCCAUGAUAAUGCACUGUUGAAUAUCAUUGCCACCAGACCAAUCAAUCUGCAAGUAGUUUCAUAUCCUAACACUGAAAUUGCAAGAGAAGAGGUAUAACACAAAGUGUUAACGUGUGAUUUAGUUUCUUAGACCAUGAGAGUGUCGUAGCCACUUCUUACUAUACGAUGAACUUUGAGGUUGCUCAAAUGUCAUCUGUAACACGAUGAUUAUAACGACAACUUACGGGUUCAUCGGGAAGUUUGACAAAGGACUAGAUAGCUCGAGAGUGGAAUUUGCUCUUCCGAUGAUGAAGAGAUAUUCUUACAGCCCUCUUAGUGUAACGACAUCCAUCAUCG